GAUGAACGCUGGCGGCGUGCUUAACACAUGCAAGUCGAACGGAAAGGCCCAAGCUUGCUUGGGUACUCGAGUGGCGAACGGGUGAGUAACACGUGGGUGAUCUGCCCUGCACUUCGGGAUAAGCCUGGGAAACUGGGUCUAAUACCGGAUAGGACCACAUUUUGGAUGGUGUGGUGGAAAGUUUUUCGGUGUGGGAUGAGCUCGCGGCCUAUCAGCUUGUUGGUGGGGUAAUGGCCUACCAAGGCGUCGACGGGUAGCCGGCCUGAGAGGGUGUACGGCCACAUUGGGACUGAGAUACGGCCCAGACUCCUACGGGAGGCAGCAGUGGGGAAGAUUGCACAAGGGGCGCAAGCCUGAUGCAGCGACGCCGCGGGGGGGAUGACGGCCUUCGGGUUGUAAACUCCUUUCGCUAGGGACGAAGCGUUAUGUGACGGUACCUGGAGAAGAAGCACCGGCUAACUACGUG
This 466-nucleotide ribosomal RNA is filed under the name uncultured bacterium. RNAcentral's name for it is "partial 16S ribosomal RNA". It matches the Rfam family "Bacterial small subunit ribosomal RNA", at positions 28 to 507 of the family's 1533-position model. The record is from RNAcentral.